Molecule: long non-coding RNA, 1903 nt
Organism: Acipenser ruthenus (sterlet)
Lineage: Eukaryota; Metazoa; Chordata; Actinopteri; Acipenseriformes; Acipenseridae
Exons: 3
Source: RefSeq, a predicted model, not a curated record
GCCAACUUCUCUUGUGGAAAUAGAUCCAAAACCUGGAGAUACUUACCUGUACACCUGAAAGGAGCAAAAUUACAGUUACUACGCAGACACGUGUGGAUUACAAAAUUACUUGUGAACGUGAGACUUACCUUGAGUGGACCUGUGCCUGGAGACCUCAGAAAGGUGUCCUCAGUUUCUGUUAAUACAUUUGUGUUUUUACUUGCAUUGAGAGCAGCUCAUGCAAGGCCGAGCAUACAGCCUGCAAGACAUGUAGACAGGGCCCAAGUAGGCAGGUUUUCUUUUAUUUAAUUUCUUUUUUCCAAAUGCCGGAUAUUUUGUAUUUUUCAGUUUAAACAGUAUGAUGCCUCUUACUGGAACCCGUUGAAUGUGCAUUCAAAAUACAGGCAUGGAGGGGAACCAUUUUUGCAUCAGCUGGGUGACUUUUUGGGGAAGUUAGUUCCGGUCUGCAAGCAGGAACUGCUGUUACCAAGUGUCAGCAUUGUGCACAAUGGAAGCCUGCUAACUGAGAAGUGGUUCCAAAAAUAUGAUCCUCAAGGCCUGCUAUCAUCUUGGUUAGCUUACAUUACCUAUCAUCCUAUAAGCAGAACUUCCCAGGAAUUUGUACAGAAAAGUUUCAGCAUUUUAAAAGAUUACCUGGUCCACAGCAUAACACAUCCAAAAAAUAAAAGAUCAACAGGAACAUUUCCAUGUAACAGGCUACGUUGUACAACCUGCAAAUAUACCAUCUCAAAACUAGAGAUCACAGGACCUAAAUCAUCAUUUAUCAUCAGUGAACACUUUACUUGCACCUCACAUGGAAUUGUCUAUUGCAUUAUCAGUAAAAAUUCAACAAACUGUACAUUUGAGAAACAAAAAGGCGUUUAGCUGAUCGCUUUGUGGAACAUUUAAGAAACAUUAGGAUCAGCUCUGCCACAUCAUCCAUAGCUAAACAUUUUAACACAGCUGGACACAGCCCUAAUGACAUUGCAGUCUGUGCAAUUUAUCAUUGUUACGGAACACAUGCUGGAAGGAAACAAAAGGAACGUGAAUGUAUCUUUAAACUUGGCACCUCAGAACCUGUUGGGAUGAACAUUCUGUCUUGAGAGUCAAAACAUUCCAUGACUAUUGAAAUUCAGAACCUACAGUACACUCUUUAGAGAUCUACAGUAACAGAAGAAAGUCUUAUUUUCAUAAAUAAUGUUUUGCAGAACAAUAGGUUUUAUUUAGCUAAAUCUAACAUUUGACUAUUUAAAGUUUUAAGUAAAACAAAAAGCAACCAGAAAAAAAGCUAUCUUUUCAAUUGCUUACAUACCCUGUGUAUUCAACAGUUUUAUAUAAAUGUGUUCCCAAGUUUACCCAUUGAUGAAGGUUGGUGGCUGAAGUACUAAUUUGGGACUGUAGGUGGCAGCAAAGUGGAAUGUGAAUCUGCCUGCUGAAUCAGACAGGAGAAGCAAAGUACUGCCUGAAGUGCUCCCUCACACAUCUGGUUAGUUCACAGUUAGGCCGUGUUGACAGGAAGAUGUCAUGUACUAUACUUUAUGGUGUAGAAACCCUUCACUAAUUCAUGUUGUAACAAGCGACUGUAUAUUAUUAUAUACUGUAUUAGUAUCUGUACCUUUAAGAGUGAAGGCACUUCCCUGGAGAAGCAGCCUUGACGUGGGCAUGGUAAGGAAAUGUAAAUUCUUAAGUUACUAUUUUAUUUUUGUGUACUGUAUGUUGGUUAAUGUAAAUGAUUAGUGUGGUAAUAAAAGUGUAAUCGCUUACCUGAAAACCUGUGUGUGGAUCCUUGUAUUCACAAUAAGCCAGGAUACAACAGUCUGAUAAGUUAUUCACAUAUGCUAUGGUGCUAGGUUAAUAGCUACCCCAACCUGAGCCAGACUGCCACUGUGCUGAUGCAAAUAGUGUGACUGUUCAUUGAUUUUCA